RNAcentral lists this ribosomal RNA (253 nucleotides) under uncultured bacterium. RNAcentral's name for it is "partial 16S ribosomal RNA". It matches the Rfam family "Bacterial small subunit ribosomal RNA", at positions 524 to 776 of the family's 1533-position model. The record is from RNAcentral.
UACGUAGGGGGCAAGCGUUGUCCGGAUUUAUUGGGCGUAAAGCGUGCGCAGGCGGUUUUGUAAGUCUGAUGUGAAAUCCCCGGGCUCAACCUGGGAAUUGCAUUGGAGACUGCAAGGCUAGAAUCUGGCAGAGGGGGGUAGAAUUCCACGUGUAGCAGUGAAAUGCGUAGAGAUGUGGAGGAACACCGAUGGCGAAGGCAGCCCCCUGGGUCAAGAUUGACGCUCAUGCACGAAAGCGUGGGGAGCAAACAGG